GACGAACGCUGGCGGCGUGCUUAACACAUGCAAGUCGAACGGAAAGGCCCUGCUUUUGUGGGGUGCUCGAGUGGCGAACGGGUGAGUAACACGUGAGUAACCUGCCCUUGACUUUGGGAUAACUUCAGGAAACUGGGGCUAAUACCGGAUAGGAGCUCCUGCUGCAUGGUGGGGGUUGGAAAGUUUCGGCGGUUGGGGAUGGACUCGCGGCUUAUCAGCUUGUUGGUGGGGUAGUGGCUUACCAAGGCUUUGACGGGUAGCCGGCCUGAGAGGGUGACCGGCCACAUUGGGACUGAGAUACGGCCCAGACUCCUACGGGAGGCAGCAGUGGGGAAUAUUGCACAAUGGGCGGAAGCCUGAUGCAGCAACGCCGCGUGCGGGAUGACUGCCUUCGGGUUGUAAACCGCUUUCGCCUGUGACGAAGCGUGAGUGACGGUAAUGGGUAAAGAAACACCGGCUAACUACGU
Molecule: ribosomal RNA, 467 nt
Filed under: uncultured bacterium
Lineage: Bacteria
Description: partial 16S ribosomal RNA
Rfam family: Bacterial small subunit ribosomal RNA
Source: RNAcentral